ACGGGUGAGUAACACGUGGGCAACCUGCCCCUUAGACUGGGAUAACUCCGGGAAACCGGAGCUAAUACCGGAUAAUCCCUUUCUCCACCUGGAGAGAGGGUGAAAGAUGGCUUCGGCUAUCACUAGGGGAUGGGCCCGCGGCGCAUUAGCUAGUUGGUAAGGUAACGGCUUACCAAGGCAACGAUGCGUAGCCGACCUGAGAGGGUGAUCGGCCACACUGGGACUGAGACACGGCCCAGACUCCUACGGGAGGCAGCAGUAGGGGAUCUUCCGCAAUGGACGAAAGUCUGACGGAGCAACGCCGCGUGAGUGAGGAAGGCCUUCGGGUCGUAAAGCUCUGUUGUGAGGGAAGAAGCGGUACCGUUCGAAUAGGGCGGUACCUUGACGGUACCUCACCAGAAAGCCACGGCUAACUACGUGCCAGCAGCCGCGGUAAUACGUAGGUGGCAAGCGUUGUCCGGAAUUAUUGGGCGUAAAGCGCGCGCAGGCGGCUUCUUAAGUCUGAUGUGAAAUCUCGGGGCUCAACCCCGAGCGGCCAUUGGAAACUGGGGAGCUUGAGUGCAGAAGAGGAGAGUGGAAUUCC
RNAcentral lists this ribosomal RNA (583 nucleotides) under uncultured bacterium. RNAcentral describes it as "bacterial SSU rRNA". It matches the Rfam family "Bacterial small subunit ribosomal RNA", at positions 102 to 670 of the family's 1533-position model. The record is from RNAcentral.